Molecule: ribosomal RNA, 256 nt
Filed under: uncultured bacterium
Lineage: Bacteria
Description: partial 16S ribosomal RNA
Rfam family: Bacterial small subunit ribosomal RNA
Source: RNAcentral
GAUCAUGGCUCAGGAUGAACGCUAGCGACAGGCUUAACACAUGCAAGUCGAGGGGCAGCGGGGAGUAGCAAUACUUCGCCGGCGACCGGUGCACGGGUGAGUAACACGUGUGCAACCAACCCCGUACCGGGAGAUAACCCGCGGAAACGUGGACUAACAUCCCAUAAUACUGGAGGAUCGCAUGAUCUUUCAUUUAAAAUUCCGGUGGUACGGGACGGGCACGCGCGACAUUAGGUAGUUGGCGGGGUAACGGCCC